This 610-nucleotide ribosomal RNA is filed under the name uncultured bacterium. RNAcentral describes it as "bacterial SSU rRNA". The stretch from base 1 to 542 matches the Rfam family "Bacterial small subunit ribosomal RNA", at positions 338 to 873 of the family's 1533-position model. The record is from RNAcentral.
CCUACGGGAGGCAGCAGUGGGGAAUUUUGGACAAUGGGCGCAAGCCUGAUCCAGCCAUGCCGCGUGCGGGAAGAAGGCCUUCGGGUUGUAAACCGCUUUUGUCAGGGAAGAAAAGGUUCUGGCUAAUACCUGGGACUCAUGACGGUACCUGAAGAAUAAGCACCGGCUAACUACGUGCCAGCAGCCGCGGUAAUACGUAGGGUGCAAGCGUUAAUCGGAAUUACUGGGCGUAAAGCGUGCGCAGGCGGUUAUGCAAGACAGAGGUGAAAUCCCCGGGCUCAACCUGGGAACUGCCUUUGUGACUGCAUAGCUAGAGUACGGUAGAGGGGGAUGGAAUUCCGCGUGUAGCAGUGAAAUGCGUAGAUAUGCGGAGGAACACCGAUGGCGAAGGCAAUCCCCUGGACCUGUACUGACGCUCAUGCACGAAGGCGUGGGGAGCAAACAGGAUUAGAUACCCUGGUAGUCCACGCCCUAAACGAUGUCAACUGGUUGUUGGGAGGGUUUCUUCUCAGUAACGUAGCUAACGCGUGAAGUUGACCGCCUGGGGAGGACGGCGCGAGUAGAAGUAAUAGAUGNGCGNGAGAGNGCGAGACGACGACGAGGGAGGAGG